GCCUGUAAGACUGGGAUAACUCCGGGAAACCGGGGCUAAUACCGGAUAACACCUACCCCCGCAUGGGGGAAGGUUGAAAGGUGGCUUCGGCUAUCACUUACAGAUGGACCCGCGGCGCAUUAGCUAGUUGGUGAGGUAACGGCUCACCAAGGCGACGAUGCGUAGCCGACCUGAGAGGGUGAUCGGCCACACUGGGACUGAGACACGGCCCACACUCCUUAGGGAGGCAGCAGUAGGGAAUCUUCCGCAAUGGACGAAAGUCUGACGGAGCAACGCCGCGUGAGUGAAGAAGGUUUUCGGAUCGUAAAACUCUGUUGUUAGGGAAGAACAAGUGCCGUUCGAAUAGGGCGGCACCUUGACGGUACCUAACCAGAAAGCCACGGCUAACUACGUGCCAGCAGCCGCGGUAAUACGUAGGUGGCAAGCGUUGUCCGGAAUUAUUGGGCGUAAAGCGCGCGCAGGUGGUUUCUUAAGUCUGAUGUGAAAGCCCACGGCUCAACCGUGGAGGGUCAUUGGAAACUGGGGAACUUGAGUGCAGAAGAGGAAAGUGGAAUUCCAAGUGUAGCGGUGAAAUGCGUAGAUAUUUGGAGGAACACCAGUGGCGAAGGCGACUUUCUGGUCUGUAACUGACACUGAGGCGCGAAAGCGUGGGGAGCAAACAGGAUUAGAUACCCUGGUAGUCCACGCCGUAAACGAUGAG
This 700-nucleotide ribosomal RNA is filed under the name Rossellomorea aquimaris. RNAcentral describes it as "bacterial SSU rRNA". It matches the Rfam family "Bacterial small subunit ribosomal RNA", at positions 128 to 813 of the family's 1533-position model. The record is from RNAcentral. Lineage: Bacteria; Bacillati; Bacillota; Bacilli; Caryophanales; Bacillaceae.